GGAAGAUGUUAUUAGCUCCUGAAAUUUGGUAACAAGAAAGGCCUUUAAAGUCUCCAGGACUUUAGCUCCUUAACGGUGGGACUAUGCUUUAGAUAGAAGCUGAUUAGUAAAUAUUGAUUGAAUGAAUACAUCCAGACAGAGUGUUUGGAAUCUUGGCUCACCCUGCUCACCUCCCCAGCUCCCAGUCUGGUCUGUCUUCAUCAUGGGAAAUGCUUGCUGUACUGGCCAGAAUGAGCAUCAGAACAUGCAAAGAGCCCAGGUAGAACCUCUAGCACUUUGUUGACUACAAGGGAUGAGAGCAGACACCUUUGGUUCAUCUUCGGUUCUGGCCUUAACGGAAAAGCAUUCACUGUUUCAUAGUGGAGAAACUAAGGCCCAUCUCACGAUGGAACUCACCAAGGGCCACAUGUCAAUAACUGGUAAAUAACCUGGAAAGCGGGUUCAACUAGGAGCCCCCAAAAUCAUGCUCCUUCCUGCUCCAGGAAGCACCAGGAACCCCCUUCUUCAUUUGUGCUGACAACAUAACCUUAGAGAUGAGGAGU
Homo sapiens (human) is the source of this 542-nucleotide long non-coding RNA. Lineage: Eukaryota; Metazoa; Chordata; Mammalia; Primates; Hominidae. The record is from Ensembl.